AAUAAUCACACCUAAUUGUCGACGUCAACUGGACAGCUAUGAAUGUGGGUAUUAUGUAAUGAAACACAUGCAUACCAUUAUUUGUACAAACAUUAUUGAAUCAUGGAAAGAGAUCUUUAAUAAUUCAUCUCCCAUGGAAGCUGCAGUCAUUGACGACAUUAGAAGGAACUGGGCAUCUUUUAUUUUAAGUAUUAGUAGAAACUUGGCUACAAUUCAAUAGUAUAUGUACAUUUGGAUUUAAUAUAUACUUUUAUGCACAAACGAUGUAUUAAAUAUUAUUAGACUAUUUAAAGUUUGAAA
Molecule: long non-coding RNA, 300 nt
Organism: Vigna radiata var. radiata (mung bean)
Lineage: Eukaryota; Viridiplantae; Streptophyta; Magnoliopsida; Fabales; Fabaceae
Exons: 3
Source: RefSeq, a predicted model, not a curated record